UGACCUACUUAGUCGGGCUUAGUUCGGCGGAGCGGGAACAUUUUACACGUUAUGAAAUAACGCUAUACCAAGGACAAGAUAUAUUUAUGAGUUACCAUCAAAGUCCCAAGUGAAGCAGUAGGACAUUCCACGAUUCCAGCAUCCUUUUAAAUGCAUGCAAAGACAUUCUUGAUGACAAAAGGCUCCAGUCUCCAUACAGCAUGGUGUCUUCUAGGUGAACUGACUUUACCUGGCU
This 235-nucleotide unclassified non-coding RNA is filed under the name Lingula anatina. RNAcentral's name for it is "uncharacterized LOC106163177, transcript variant X2". The record is from RNAcentral. Lineage: Eukaryota; Metazoa; Brachiopoda; Lingulata; Lingulida; Lingulidae.